This 1479-nucleotide small RNA is filed under the name Pongo abelii (Sumatran orangutan). RNAcentral describes it as "retained intron". The record is from RNAcentral. Lineage: Eukaryota; Metazoa; Chordata; Mammalia; Primates; Hominidae.
GCCCGCGAUGCCUCUACACAAGUAUCCCGUGUGGCUCUGGAAGCGGUUGCAGCUACGGGAGGGCAUCUGUUCCCGCCUGCCCGGCCACUACCUGCGCUCCCUGGAGGAGGAGCGGACGCCCACUCCCGUGCACUACAGGCCUCACGGGGCCAAGUUCAAGAUCAACCCCAAGAACGGGCAGCGGGAGCGUGUGGAGGACGUGCCCAUCCCCAUCUACUUUCCCCCCGAGUCCCAGCGGGGGUUGUGGGGCGGCGAGGGCUGGAUCCGGGGCCAAAUAUAUGCCAACAACGACAAGAGGCUGAAGAAGGUGUGGAAGCCACAGCUGUUUGAGCGAGAGCUCUACAGUGAGAUCCUAGACAAGAAGUUCACAGUGACUGUGACCAUGCGGACCCUGGACCUCAUCGAUGAGGCUUACGGGCUCGACUUUUACAUCCUCAAGGCAAGCAGGGUGGGGCGAGUCAGUGCACAGCAGGGUCCGGGAUGGGCCAGUCAGACUCAAGGGAGCCCCAGGUCAGCAUCACACCGGGGCACGCUGGCAUCUGCACAGGAGGGUCACUGGGAAAGUGUGAGUGGGGCCAUGCCCCUUUCUGGCCAGCGCCAGUGGCAUUUCCUGCCUGCACGAGAGGCUGUCGCUCUGUGGGUGGCUGACUUGCCCAUGGGGCCUGAGCAAGCAUAGCCACCCCUUUCCCUGCUCUUGGACUUGCUUCUGUCCUGAUCCCACCCCCCGUGCUGGGGUGCUGACGUGGCCCCACCUGGGCCUUCUCUGUCCUGUCCUGGGACCACCAGCGGCUAGAGAGGAGCCAGGUGGGUUGGCUGGAAGGGUAGGCGGGGCCCUGCCACCAGCACCUGGCCCCAUGUGAGCCUUCUGCCAGACCCCGAAGGAGGACCUGUGCUCCAAGUUUGGGAUGGACCUGAAGCGAGGAAUGCUGCUGCGGCUUGCCCGGCAGGACCCCCAGCUGCACCCCGAGGACCCUGAGCGGCGGGCAGCCAUCUACGACAAGUACAAGGAAUUUGCCAUCCCAGAGGAGGAGGCAGAGUGGGUGGGCCUCACGCUGGAGGAGGCCAUUGAGAAGCAGAGACUCCUGGAGGAGAAGGACCCUGUACCUCUGUUCAAGAUCUAUGUGGCGGAGCUGAUCCAGCAGCUGCAGCAGCAGGCACUGUCAGAGCCGGCGGUGGUGCAGAAGAGAGCCAGUGGCCAGUGACCACACAGCUCCUCCAUGCCUGACCAACAGGCCCAGCCUUCCCUGCCAGGCCCUUUGCACUGAGGACACAGAUCCCGGGGAGCUGUGAGGGCUACCGGUGGGCAGUGGGUGGAUCCUGGUUUCGUGUGCUGCCGAUGCACCUUCCAGCCCGGGGCCAGCUUGGCAGGGAUCCCCAGGAGGCCUGGGCCGCCCAGAGGCUCCUCUCAGGCUGGGCCCCCACGUUUGUAGCAGUGUUCCUUGUGCCUGUGGGGCCGGGAGUGAGUAAAGUCUGGGCCAG